This is an RNA transcript of Gadus morhua (Atlantic cod), 4515 nucleotides long. It is a transcript of the gene named major intrinsically disordered Notch2-binding receptor 1, with no coding region annotated. Lineage: Eukaryota; Metazoa; Chordata; Actinopteri; Gadiformes; Gadidae. The transcript has 6 exons. The record is from RefSeq and is a predicted model, not a curated record.
UCCACUCUUACAGGACUCAGAAGUUCACUUCUGAAUUGAUGAGUAACUGCCAGUAGGCCUACGCUGCUUUUUGGAGCCUCGAUUAUCAGCAGAAAACCGAUUAGUUUCCAUUAUUAAUCUCAAAUUCGUGAAAACACUUGAAAGGUUAACAAUUGGGUUCUCAGGCAAUCUGAGAAAAAUAUGCUUAGCGUUGGACUUUAGCCCUACCCACUCAUAGUAACGGACGGGCGGCUCUCUUGCCAAGCACAUGUCUCGUCUGAUUUAUCAAUGCACGUUGUGACUUCUGAGCUGUCAGGACUUUGCUGGUGUCGGCAGUGAUCUACAGGGGAAGCCGUUUGGAUCUGAGGCUCCGGGUCCCUCAGGGGACUGCAGGGACUUGUGGGAAGAUGACCUGAUUUCUAAAUUUCUCCUCUCUGCCUGAGGUGCAGGCUAUUCGCCGUUUCAAAUAAAGUAGACCACCAAGGAAGCCGAUAUGAUCGAGGCUGGAUUUACCGGGCGGAUUGUGAUCUGGUUCGACUCUAGUUUUGGGCACUCAUUUGUCUACCUAACGGGCGCCAGUUCGGCAGAUGACCUCCCUUCUCUCAGUUGAUAUGGUUUAACAUCCCGGCCACAGAAAUCCCCUCGAGGUGAGCAGUCAUGGCAAACCUACAGCAGGAGUACCCGUUGGUGCUGCUGGGGAUACUGGAGGAGCUGGCCAACAUGCGCCACUGGCUCUCUUUCCAGGACCUCUGUCGCAUGGUCAGCACCCGGUUCGAUCUGGAGCACCUCGUGGAGCUCCGGAGCCUGCUGUUUGCGGCGGCCAGUCAAGACCCGUGCUUCCCUGCUACCCUCUUCAGGGACCGCGUUGCGGUCCGAAAUCUGGGGCUUUCCCCGAUAGGCGUGGCCGCGGAUAUCGUCACAAUCUUCAAUCUCAUUCAGAUGACAAGUGGUGCUUAUGAUGGCAACCAAUCGACGAGGAGCGAGGCGGCUAUCCCCAUCGACCAAUCCCUGGGACCCUCUGAGCUGCUGAGCUUUACUGGAAGGGAAAGAGCACGUUCCCACUCUGACAUUGGAAGCAAGCCCAUAGAUCAGCACUUACUCUUCCCCAAAUCGAAUUAUUCAGCCUACAAGCGCGGUAGCCUCCCGCCGGAUCCCAUCUCACUCGUGUCCUCUCCUCCGGCCAGAGCGAGGGCUGUGUCUUUCAGCCUGCCGCACAACUCCCCUUUAUUUGCGGGGGAUCAGUUCACAAGCCAGGACAUGCAGAACAUGUACCUGCCCCUGGAGACUGACAGCGAGUCCAGUGGAGAGUCUGUCCCUCCAGAGGUGUUCGAAGAGGAGCAGGAGUCCGCUGUCGACCAGAAGAGAAACAUCUUCAAGAAGGAUUUCCACAACCAGCCCCCGCUAAUACCCCAGGUGACUAUUAGCAGUGAGUCUCUUAGUCCUGGUCAAGUGCCGAAAUCCUUUGAUAACCUUAGCUUUGAGAUGCUGAACAACCCUUACCCGUCACCCACAGCUGUUCAGCAUUUACCGGAGCAACAGGUGAAGCACGAGAGCUUGGAUGACCUGCAGGACUCCACCUACUUUGGGCCGAGGUCAAAGGCCGAGUGGUCCCCACGUCACCUCCAACCCCCCAGGACCCAGAAGUCCAUGUGGACCAACAAGAGCCAUAGUCUGGAGGACCGGGUCGGCGUGGGCAGCAUGGGGUUGGGUUUGGAAGCGUCAGGGGCUCCGUUCCCGCGGCGGUCUUCCCCGGCUAUCAGCCUCCUCGGGGCCUCUUUGGCAGGGGAGUUUAGGAACAGCCUCAUGGUGGACAGAGGCGAUGGGGCCAAGGCUCAGGGGACCCAGACCGACGCCCCGGACCACAGAAGGCUCCGCAGCAUGGUCCACGCCGACCGCCUCUCCUUCAUGACCUCGCUGGACGACCCCGAGUUCGGGGAGGACGACAUCAGCGCCAUAUUCCGUUUCCUGGACGACAUGAGCAUGUGCGGCUCGACGGGCGUCCUGCACCCCAGCGAGGGUAUGGCGGCCGCGAACCCGGACACCCACGAGGGGAGGAGGGGACGCCUGGGUCAACUGCAGAGACUCUUCCACUCCCUGGAGAGCACCGACGACGGCGGCCUCAAGGCCAGCGUCUGCAAGCUGCUCCUGCGCAUGAGCCAGAUCGAGCGGCAGCUCGAGGGCCUGGCCGAGGUCAAGUCGGAGAUCUCCCAGGUCCUCUCUGCCCUGCAGCGGCUGGACGAGAAGAUCCAGCAGCCCGUGGUCGGGGGCGGACGGGGCACCGGAGGCGGCCGGUGGCUAGAGCCCCUCAGCGCCGGUGUGUCCUCGUUCAGCAGCCACCCGGUGACUCCUGGCUCUGAGACGUCAGAGCCCCAGCCUCUGUCCGUGUCCGGGCUUCUCUACCCGAGGACCAGCAGCAGCAGCCUGGACUGGAGCCGGUGGAACGCCGGGGGGCCGAUGGAGAGCGGCACGGAUCAGGCUGAGGUUUCCAAGGGCUCCAAGGAAGGGAAGAAGGAGGCGUCCUCUCGACGGGCCUCCAGGGCCCAUGCCGAGGAGAAGGCGGUUUCAGAUGCAAAGCGUCCCAGUGUGUCCCACUCUGCACGGGAAUGGGCGGUCGCAUUCUCUAAAGGCAAAGACCACAAGUCCUCUUCGUAUGAAAAAGGUGGACAGGUGGAUCAGACCAACAACAGCACAACCAACCUGCUUUCUCAGAAGCCCCCAACACUGGUGGAGCAAGUGUUUAACUCGGGCUUGUUCAAACAGAAGGACAGCAGUCUGAUGGGUGGGAUGAGCUCUGGGAAGGUCAUGGAGUCUAGAUUGGCUGGGGGGAGGGGAAGACCAAUCUGGGCGCUCCAUGACAGAGAGUCCCCCGUCUCCCCUUUAAAUAUGCAGCUGUUAAACUGAGGAAUCAAAGGAUGGAUAUAACGGAAAGCGGUAGAACAUGGUAACAGCAGCAUCAGCACCACUCCAUAUGUGAGGGUAAGUAUUAAUAUAUUUGAAUAUGCUAGCUAUGCAAGUUAUUUAUCAUGGAGCUUUGUCAAAUGAGUUGUCACAGAGGUCAUUGUGCACCGCAGAAGUUAUCCCACUACCAUUAUUCCUAUGUUUUUCCUUUAUCCUCUGUUAUUAAUAUCACAGAUCAUCAACUGUUUAAAAUAAGUACUUGUGUGUCAGACAUAAGGGGUACUAAUGCUUGAAUUUUUUUCAUAAAUAAGUCCUACGGAUCAUCUUGACUGUCCCACCACCCUUGGGGAUUGUAGCAGUGUCCACUGCGGCUAGAUGGCCACAUGCCUCUCUCCUGUGACUGAAUCAGGUUUAAGAAUCAAAGUUGAAGUUCAAGAUCCACAUUCACCCUCCUAGUCAUUGCAUGUUUGAUAUGAGCUUUCUUUUACAGCCUCUUCUUGCAUUAAAACCGCCUUUUCUCUUUUCCAGACUUGUUUUAUCUUUGUGAGGUUAGUGAAAUUGCUGCACCAGUCCCUGUGACAGCCUGUGUGAGCUGGUAUAGCAACAAGCACCAAGUUAAAUCUUUGCACUACACAUGUUCACAAAAGAUGGGUACAAGAGUAGUCUAGUGGUUGGAUAAUGUUUUUAGGACGUUAUGCUCCUCAUUUUGACAAAAUUUUGAAUUUCCCAAGAAAUACAAUAGAUAAUAACAAAAUUCCAAGAAACUUUGAGGUCUAUUGAAAAACGUUUAAGAAACUUUUAAGUAUACCAGUAAAUUAAUGCCAGAAAAUACAAGUUCUUUCAUUAAAAAGUAAGGAUGGUAUUGAGUUAUAUUUCUAAAAUAUUAAAAUUCGUGUUCAAUCAAUUAUGAGCUAGAGACGUUAACUUGGGUUAAACCUCUAGCUGUUUUUGUGGAAGAAAUUUCAGUGAAUAUGAUUUUAAAAUCCCCUGAAUCUAGAUGUCACGACAAGCAAGUACAAUGUAGCUAAUGUGCAAAACGAUAAAUGUUGACUACGAAAUGUUGCAUUUUAUAGUCUGUGGUUGCAUCGAAAAUCGUUUUUUAUGUUAGCUUCAUUGACAGUAAUAUGUGGUUGUACGUUUGAACUUUUUCAAUAAUUCAAACCACAUGAUUGACAUGAUUUAAUAACUGGGAUUGAGGCAUUUAAAGCACCCUAUUGGAUGAUAACUACAAAUAUGUCAUGCAUGUCAGACCCAAAGCAACCUGCUCUCUUUGCCAGAAAAUGUAACUUGAACAAAUUUAAAGAUAAACAAAAAAUGUGCAAGAAGUAUCGGGUGGCAAUCAAUUUUUUCAUUUGUUAAAAACUAGAAGUUGUCAAAAUAUAUUGGAUCCUCCUUUGACAGGGAUCGUCUAAAUACAAAAAGUCUCCCGUUGGCCCACCGCCUAUUGGAUCAACAGAAAGAGAAGUCUACUCUUUCUUAUCUAUAAGAGGGUUUCUAUAUAUCUCUUUAAACAUUCCAGCAAAUGUGACAUAUUGGGGAAGAUGGUUCCAGAGGGUCUGUGCUAAAACAGCAAAGGUGCAAUCAACUUUAGUUUUGCAAUUGGAGGCAGAGAGUAAAUUCUGAGUAGAUCCUAAAAUC